GAGAGAUGGUCUCGGUUGGUGACCAGCGGAGGGAUCAUUACCGAGUUUACACUCCCAAACCCCUGUGAACAUACCACUUGUUGCCUCGGCGGAUCAGCCCGCUCCCGGUAAAACGGGACGGCCCGCCAGAGGACCCCUAAACUCUGUUUCUAUAUGUAACUUCUGAGUAAAACCAUAAAUAAAUCAAAACUUUCAACAACGGAUCUCUUGGUUCUGGCAUCGAUGAAGAACGCAGCAAAAUGCGAUAAGUAAUGUGAAUUGCAGAAUUCAGUGAAUCAUCGAAUCUUUGAACGCACAUUGCGCCCGCCAGUAUUCUGGCGGGCAUGCCUGUUCGAGCGUCAUUUCAACCCUCAAGCCCUCGGGUUUGGUGUUGGGGAUCGGCGAGCCCUUUGCGGCAAGCCGGCCCCGAAAUCUAGUGGCGGUCUCGCUGCAGCUUCCAUUGCGUAGUAGUAAAACCCUCGCAACUGGUACGCGGCGCGGCCAAGCCGUUAAACCCCCAACUUCUGAAUGUUGACCUCGGAUCAGGUAGGAAUACCCGCUGAACUUAAGCAUAUCAAUAAGCGGAGGAA
RNAcentral lists this ribosomal RNA (569 nucleotides) under Fusarium proliferatum. RNAcentral's name for it is "eukaryotic LSU rRNA". The stretch from base 188 to 341 matches the Rfam family "5.8S ribosomal RNA". The record is from RNAcentral. Lineage: Eukaryota; Fungi; Ascomycota; Sordariomycetes; Hypocreales; Nectriaceae.